This is a long non-coding RNA of Manduca sexta (tobacco hornworm), 794 nucleotides long. RefSeq lists it as uncharacterized. The record is from RefSeq and is a predicted model, not a curated record. The transcript has 2 exons. Lineage: Eukaryota; Metazoa; Arthropoda; Insecta; Lepidoptera; Sphingidae.
UCGCAAUCGUUAUGAUAAACUGAUAAGGUGUGAUAUGCUUUAAGAGUAAGCGAACAAUGUUUUCAUAAUAACAAUCCGACUGCGCUAAAACAGUUUGCUUUCGUUGGGUUAUAUGGUUACGUGGAAUCUGAGCUGAAUUUGAGCGAUGCCACCCCGCCAGGACCUCGUGGUGCAGCCGACGGUGAUCCGGGUGGAGACGACCAGGCCCCCGCCGCCGCCGCCGCCGGGCCGCCUGCAGCGACCGCCGCACGACCAUCCCUCAACCUACCUGCGCAGGCCUGCCAACCCGCCACGCGACAGGCUGACCAACACCGUCGCCAAUAACCAAUGACACAAACAAUGGACCUUUUUACGAAGUCGUGUGCGGUAGUUGUAAGAUUGCAAUCUGUAGUUCUUAAGUUUUUUUGUCGAAUAUUGGUUGCAGCCUAAAGCUAUGACGAUUUCUACGAUAACUAAGGAAUUGUUAAAAGUAUUUUAAAAUAAUUUAUUCCAUCAAAUGUGUAACGAAUACGGCUCAAAAUAUGCCGUUCUAUAUUAUAAAAAUAGGUACCCAAUCUGAUAUAAAAAAAAUCAUAAUAUUUUUGUUACAGAUGUGAUGUCUAUUGAUUUAAAUAUAUAAUUAAUUUAUAUUGGCUUAGAACUAAGAAAAACUUAUAUGUGUAGGUUCUAAUGUGUUUGUAAAAUAUAAUUUAGAAAUGUAACACUAAUUAUAAAAAUAUAGCAUUAUUUGUGUAUCUCUUUAUUUUAUUUAGUAUGAGUAAAUAAAAAGAUAAAUGCUCAAAUAUUACACAGAA